UGUCCAAUUCAUUUGAAUAUUUCAGGGCAGAUAUAUAUUGACUUGAUUAACAAUUUAACUCCUUGUCAGAUUUCCUCUAAAUGAUUUGGUUUCAGAGUUAUAAGCAAAAAACUACAUUAUACCCCUGUUCUAUUUUUAGCCGUGGUGGCCAUCUUGGUUGGAUGGCCAGGUCAUCGGACACAUUUUUCAAACAAGGUACCUCAAAGAUGAUUGUGGCUAAGUUUGGAUUAAUUUGGCCCAGUAGUUUCAGGGGAGAAGAUUUUUGUAAAAGAUAACUAAGAUUUACGAAAAAUGGUUAAAAAUUGACUAUAAAAGGCAAUAACUCCUAAAAGGGUCAACUGACCAUUUCGGUCAUGUUGACUUAUUUGUAAAUCUUACUUUGAUGAAUAUUAUUGCUGUUUACAGUUUAUCUCUAUCUUUAA
This 422-nucleotide long non-coding RNA is filed under the name Mytilus galloprovincialis (Mediterranean mussel). The record is from RNAcentral. Lineage: Eukaryota; Metazoa; Mollusca; Bivalvia; Mytilida; Mytilidae.